This 117-nucleotide ribosomal RNA is filed under the name Pteropus alecto (black flying fox). The record is from RNAcentral. Lineage: Eukaryota; Metazoa; Chordata; Mammalia; Chiroptera; Pteropodidae.
GUCUACACCCAUGCCAUGCUGAACAAGCUCGAUGUCUGAUCUCGAAAGCUUAAGCAGGGUCAGGCCUGGUUAGUACUUGGAUGGGAGACCACCGAGGAACACCAGGUGCUGUAGGCA